CUCUUGGGUUGUAACUCCUUUUCUCAGGGAAGAAAAAAUGACGGUACCUGAGGAAUCAGCAUCGGCUAACUCCGUGCCAGCAGCCGCGGUAAUACGGAGGAUGCAAGCGUUAUCCGGAAUCAUUGGGCGUAAAGCGUCCGCAGGUGGCACUUCAAGUCUGCUGUCAAAGGUCGGGGCUUAACUCCGAACAGGCAGUGGAAACUGAAGCGCUCGAGUGCGGUAGGGGCAGAGGGAAUUCCUGGUGUAGCGGUGAAAUGCGUAGAGAUCAGGAAGAACACCGGUGGCGAAAGCGCUCUGCUAGGCCGCAACUGACACUCAGGGACGAAAGCUAGGGGAGCGAAUGGGAUUAGAUACCCCAGUAGU
This 363-nucleotide ribosomal RNA is filed under the name Chroogloeocystis siderophila SB1. RNAcentral describes it as "bacterial SSU rRNA". It matches the Rfam family "Bacterial small subunit ribosomal RNA", at positions 415 to 794 of the family's 1533-position model. Lineage: Bacteria; Bacillati; Cyanobacteriota; Cyanophyceae; Chroococcidiopsidales; Chroococcidiopsidaceae. The record is from RNAcentral.